GACGAACGCUGGCGGCGUGCUUAACACAUGCAAGUCGAACGGCAAGGCCCUGCUUUUGUGGGGUGCUCGAUUGGCGAACGCGUGAGUAGCACGUGAGUAACCUGCCCUUGACUUUGGGAUAACUUCAGGAAACUGGGGCUACUCCCGUAUAGCAUCUCCUCCUCCAUGGUGGGGGUUGGAAAUUUUAGGCGGUUGGGGAUGGAUUCGCGGCUUAACAGCUUGUUGGUGGGGUAGUUGCUUACCAAGGCUUUGACGGGUAGCCGGCCUGGGAGGGUGGACGGCGACAAUGGGACUGAGGUAGGGACCAGACGGCUACGGGAGGCAGCGGGGGGGAAUAUUGCACAAUGGGCGGAAGCGUGAUGCAGCAACGCCGCGUGCGGGAUGACGGCCUUCGGGUUGUGAACCGCUUUCGCCUGUGACGAAGCGGGAGUGACGGUAAUGAGUAAAGAAGCACCGGCUAACUACGUG
Molecule: ribosomal RNA, 468 nt
Filed under: uncultured bacterium
Lineage: Bacteria
Description: partial 16S ribosomal RNA
Rfam family: Bacterial small subunit ribosomal RNA
Source: RNAcentral